Molecule: transfer RNA, 83 nt
Filed under: bacterium
Lineage: Bacteria
Also listed under: 1 other name
Description: tRNA-Leu
Rfam family: tRNA
About the family: Transfer RNA (tRNA) molecules are approximately 80 nucleotides in length. Their secondary structure includes four short double-helical elements and three loops (D, anti-codon, and T loops).
Source: RNAcentral
GCCCGGGUGGCGGAAAUGGCAGACGCGCAUGGUUGAGGGCCAUGUGGGCAAAGCCUGUGCGGGUUCAAAUCCCGCCCCGGGCA